This 509-nucleotide ribosomal RNA is filed under the name uncultured bacterium. Its description in RNAcentral is "partial 16S ribosomal RNA". The record is from RNAcentral.
GGAGUUAGCCGGUGCUUCUUCUGUGAGUGAUGUCCUUCCUGCCGGCUAUUAACCCGCAGGCCUUCUUCCUCACUGAAAGUGCUUUACAACCCGAAGGCCUUCUUCACACACGCGGCAUGGCUGGAUCAGGGUUGCCCCCAUUGUCCAAUAUUCCCCACUGCUGCCUCCCGUAGGAGUCUGGGCCGUGUCUCAGUCCCAGUGUGGCUGAUCAUCCUCUCAGACCAGCUACGGAUCGUCGCCUUGGUGAGCCGUUACCUCACCAACCAGCUAAUCCGACAUAGGCUCAUCCGAUAGCGCGAGGCCCGAAGGUCCCCCGCUUUCCCCCGUAGGGCGUAUGCGGUAUUAGCCUGGGUUUCCCCCAGGUUAUCCCCCACUACCGGGGCAGAUUCCUAUGCAUUACUCACCCGUCCGCCGCUCGCCACCAGGGAGCAAGCUCCCCGUGCUGCCGCUCGACUUGCAUGUGUUAGGCCUGCCGCCAGCGUUCAAUCUGAGCCAGAAUCGAACCCUGA